This is a long non-coding RNA of Astatotilapia calliptera (eastern happy), 1113 nucleotides long. NCBI's taxonomy places the organism in Eukaryota, Metazoa, Chordata, Actinopteri, Cichliformes, Cichlidae. The record is from Ensembl.
CAUGUACAAUGAAAUUAUGGGUGCACCAUGCCAAAUGUUAAACAGACAGACAGACAGACAGACAAGAGGAAUAUAUACAAAACAAGAAAAAACACACAACGGAGCGUAAAGUGGUUGGAAGCAGCCUCCAAGGGGUGGCAGAGGGUAGCCAAUGAUUUUUUUUAGGCGGUGUUAAUUACCCAUGGCUAAGCUAUAUGGCUAGCCAUACAGCCAUAUAGCUUUAACCCAUAAAAAAUGCUUUAGUUAUAUUGAAACACAGCAUUCAGCAGAAUGGUUACCAUCAAACCAAGAAACCCAAUCAACAAAUAGGCCAAACAGGGAUUACCAUGCGUGUGGCUUUAGUUUGUCAUGUGUUGACAGUGUUAGUGUAAAUACUCUCACUACCAGAAGGGGGAGACAAAAGUUCCACACUGGUGGUUUAAAUGUGAAAAUAAAUGUGGGAUUACAAGCAGCAGGUCUCCACAGCCUGAGUGUGUUCCAGUUAAAUCCCCAAUAUGUCACUUAGUCACACAUACACACACUUAAGUCUCUACAAGUUGACGUAAUGUGCAUCCAAAUUCGACAAGUUGUGAGCGUACAGAAUAAGGCUUUUACAUUUGCUGGAAACAACGCCAUCAUCCUUUCUAUAAAUACAUUCUUUGCAAGUCACGUGCAGCACAGACCAGCUGACAAAAAAAAAAAAAAAAAAAAGCAACUGCCUUUGGCAACCAUGUGUCAUACAUUUGGACAUGAUUUUCCUGUGCAUCACUAACACAUGGUGACAGCGUUGCAUCAUGGGCUUUCUUUGAAAUCACCACUCUUUACAGUCACAGCGUUUCGUUUUUGCAUCUGUUUGUGUGCAUGCUCGACUGCGUUUCCUUGAGCCCGUCGUAUUUCUGGUCAGCCAAGAAUAUCGGCCCUCACAGACAGACACAGACACAGACUGUUUGUGCAAGGCUCACACAUCUGCUAGCACAUGCGUGUUUAUGUGCAUGUGUAUUUAAACAUCUCCACCCUCCAAUACACUGCACUCCAUCCCAUCCCACAUGUCAUUACACGAGACGGGAAAUGCUAUUGCUUACCAGAGGAGGUGUUUCUUCUGUGGAAGUCCCUGAACAGAUAGCUUUGGCCUUC